RNAcentral lists this transfer RNA (79 nucleotides) under Sphingomonas sp. RNAcentral's name for it is "tRNA-Pro". It matches the Rfam family "tRNA". Rfam says of the family: Transfer RNA (tRNA) molecules are approximately 80 nucleotides in length. Their secondary structure includes four short double-helical elements and three loops (D, anti-codon, and T loops). The record is from RNAcentral. Lineage: Bacteria; Pseudomonadati; Pseudomonadota; Alphaproteobacteria; Sphingomonadales; Sphingomonadaceae. RNAcentral also lists the same sequence under 1 other name.
CAGGGCGUAGCUCAGUCUGCGCGAGAGCGCCCGCCUUGGGAGCGGGAGGUCGCAGGUUCAAAUCCUGCCGCCCUGACCA